Molecule: transfer RNA, 24 nt
Filed under: Ramosomyia viridifrons (green-fronted hummingbird)
Lineage: Eukaryota; Metazoa; Chordata; Aves; Apodiformes; Trochilidae
Description: partial tRNA-Leu
Source: RNAcentral
AACUUUUAAAGGAUAACAGUCAAU